GUCAGGAUAGCUCAGUUGGUAGAGCAGAGGACUGAAAAUCCUCGUGUCACCAGUUUAAAUCUGGUUCCUGGCA
This is a non-coding RNA of Triticum aestivum (bread wheat), 73 nucleotides long. Lineage: Eukaryota; Viridiplantae; Streptophyta; Magnoliopsida; Poales; Poaceae. The record is from Rfam.